Molecule: long non-coding RNA, 745 nt
Organism: Ailuropoda melanoleuca (giant panda)
Lineage: Eukaryota; Metazoa; Chordata; Mammalia; Carnivora; Ursidae
Exons: 4
Source: RefSeq, a predicted model, not a curated record
CAGCCGCCAGAGCCUGAGCUGCCGGAGUGGGGACCACCCCGCAGGUACAGAGCGGGCGGCGUGAACCCGGGGCCGCAGGGAGCGCUCCAGACCCAUCUUCCAGGGACUGUGCGAGGCGCUGAGCCUGGUGUUGGCGCGCGGCCGGGCACAGGUGCCUUAUGUAUGUAGCCGGUGGAAAGGAAGGCCUUGUCGAGAACCGGAAGAAUGAGAACAUGAGCAGAAUCAGAAUAGCGUUUCCAAUACCGGAUAUCUCAGACUUCUGCUUGGCGUGCUUCUUCCCAUCGUCCCUUUCCUGAGGUGCAGGGGGAGAGGCUUGGCUUGGCUACUGAGGAACCAGAUAAAGCACAAAGGCUCCUGACACUUUUUGCACUCCAGCUUGCAGGUUUGAAGACCGGACUGGAGAAAACAGAAAAGAUUGAUGAAGCAGGAGUGAGAUGUACCUGUCACAUGCAAAGCGAGGCGGGCGUUGGCGGUGGAGUAAUUGGCCCUUUGUGCUGAGACGUGGUCGUGUCACAGGCGGAAGGCCGGGUGCUGGCCCUUUGCUAAGACCAGCGGUAUCUCAGGACUUCAGAAUGUUUCGCUUUCCAUGGUGUCGGUCACCUGGGAUCUACUGCGGUCUGGAAGCCGAUGAUGGUCCUUCUGAUGCCUCGUGGGGUCACUAGCAGCCUGACGCGACAUCACACACCUGCAUCGUUCACCUCACUUCUCACGCGGGCAUCUCGUCAUCCACACCAUCAUUAUAAGA